GACGAACGCUGGCGGCGUGCUUAACACAUGCAAGUCGAACGGAAAGGCCCUGCUUUUGUGGGGUGCUCGAGUGGCGAACGGGUGAGUAACACGUGAGUAACCUGCCCUUGACUUUGGGAUAACUUCAGGAAACUGGGGCUAAUACCGGAUAGGAGCUCCUGCUGCAUGGUGGGGGUUGGAAAGUUUCGGCGGUUGGGGAUGGACUCGCGGCUUAUCAGCUUGUUGGUGGGGUAGUGGCUUACCAAGGCUUUGACGGGUAGCCGGCCUGAGAGGGUGACCGGCCACAUUGGGACUGGGCUGCGGCACAGACUCCUACGGGAGGCAGCAGUGGGGAAUAUUGCACAAUGGGCGGAAGCCUGAUGCAGCAACGCCGCGUGCGGGAUGACGGCCUUCGGGUUGUAAACCGCUUUCGCCUGUGACGAAGCGUGAGUGACGGUAAUGGGUAAAGAAGCACCGGCUAACUACGUG
This 468-nucleotide ribosomal RNA is filed under the name uncultured bacterium. Its description in RNAcentral is "partial 16S ribosomal RNA". It matches the Rfam family "Bacterial small subunit ribosomal RNA", at positions 28 to 507 of the family's 1533-position model. The record is from RNAcentral.